GGGAGGCAGCAGUGAGGAAUAUUGGACAAUGGAUGGAAAUCUGAUCCAGCCAUGCCGCGUGCAGGAAGAAGGUCCUAUGGAUUGUAAACUGCUUUAGUGCGGGAGCAAUAAGGUCCACGAGUGGACCGAUGAGAGUACCGCAAGAAUAAGCAUCGGCUAACUCCGUGCCAGCAGCCGCGGUAAUACGGGGGAUGCAAGCGUUAUCCGGAUUUAUUGGGUUUAAAGGGUGCGUAGGCGGUCUGUCAAGUCGGCGGUGAAAACAGCAUGCUAAACAUGGUGCUUGCCGUCGAGACUGGUGGGCUUGAAUGUGGAUGAUGCCGGCGGAAUGUGUAAAGUAGCGGUGAAAUGCAUAGAUAUUACACAGAAGGUCGAUUGCGAAAGCAGCUGGCAAAGGCACUAUUGACGGUGAGGCACGAAAGUGCGGGGAUCGAACAGGAUUAGAUACCCUGGUAGUCCGCACAGUAAACGAUGAUAACUAACUGUGGGCGAUACACAGUCGGUGGUAAAGAGAAAUCGAUAAGUAUCCAC
Molecule: ribosomal RNA, 528 nt
Filed under: uncultured Bacillota bacterium
Lineage: Bacteria; Bacillati; Bacillota
Description: bacterial SSU rRNA
Rfam family: Bacterial small subunit ribosomal RNA
Source: RNAcentral